UACGAAGGGGGCUAGCGUUGUUCGGAUUUACUGGGCGUAAAGCGCACGUAGGCGGAUCGAUCAGUCAGGGGUGAAAUCCCAGAGCUCAACUCUGGAACUGCCUUUGAUACUGUCGAUCUGGAGUAUGGAAGAGGUGAGUGGAAUUCCGAGUGUAGAGGUGAAAUUCGUAGAUAUUCGGAAGAACACCAGUGGCGAAGGCGACUCACUGGACAUGUAUUGACGCUGAGGUGCGAAAGCAUGGGGAGCGAACAGG
Molecule: ribosomal RNA, 253 nt
Filed under: uncultured bacterium
Lineage: Bacteria
Description: partial 16S ribosomal RNA
Rfam family: Bacterial small subunit ribosomal RNA
Source: RNAcentral